CCAAUAGCGUAUAUUAAAGUUGUUGCAGUUAAAAAGCUCGUAGUUGAAUUUCGGGACCAAUCUGCCGGUCGUGCCUCUGGUACGCACUGGUUUUAUUGGUUUCUCCCUUCUGACGAACCAUAAUGUCAUUAAUUUGGUGUCAUGGGGAAUCAGGACUGUUACUUUGAAAAAAUUAGAGUGUUUAAAGCAGGCUCACGCUUGAAUACAUUAGCAUGGAAUAAUGAAAUAGGACGUUUGACCCUAUUUUGUUGGUUUCUAGGAUCGACGUAAUGAUUAAUAGGGAUAGUUGGGGGCAUUAGUAUUCAAUUGUCAGAGGUGAAAUUCUUGGAUUUAUUGAAGGCUAACUACUGCGAAAGCAUUUGCCAAGGAUAUUUUCAUUAAUCAAGAACGAAAGUUAGGGGAUCGAAGACGAUCAGAUACCGUCGUAGUCUUAACCAUAAACUAUGCCGACUAGGGAUCGGAUGAUGUUAAUUUUUUAAUGACUCAUUCGGCGCCUUACG
Molecule: unclassified non-coding RNA, 500 nt
Filed under: uncultured Glomus
Lineage: Eukaryota; Fungi; Glomeromycota; Glomeromycetes; Glomerales; Glomeraceae
Description: SSU rRNA
Rfam family: Eukaryotic small subunit ribosomal RNA
Source: RNAcentral